GUCUGGAAUCGUAAAGCCUAUAGGCAUCCUACUGCACGGUCAGAAUACACUGAGCAGAGGGUGCAUUUUUAACUUCAAAAACAAGAAUUCCAUUGAGGAACGUAUUACGCAUGGGUAGUUGUAUUUAUGCAUGGAGCUUUGAAUGGCUUUACGUCCUGAGGCUGAAAAUUUGUUUAGUCUGGACCAGAAAGCAGUAAUUUGUGAGGAUUCUGAAGGGAGUCCGGCCUAUUUCCUCAUUUUUAAAAGGAUUCUGAAUCGAGUUUGAUUCCUGUCUAAAGAGAGAAAUGGAGCGGGUGUUUUAUGGACAUGUGGGGGAGGGGGGCGGUCACACAUGCUGGCAAAAGUACUUGGUACUUCAGUUAA
Molecule: long non-coding RNA, 363 nt
Organism: Scatophagus argus
Lineage: Eukaryota; Metazoa; Chordata; Actinopteri; Scatophagidae
Exons: 3
Source: RefSeq, a predicted model, not a curated record